GGCCCGAACCCGUUGGUGGUGCAAUACCAUGGGAUGAGCUGUGGGUAGGGGUGAAAUGCCAAUCGAACGCGGAGAUAGCUGGUUCUCCCCGAAAUGCAUGUCAGUGCAGCCUCGGGCGCAUGGUGAUGGGGGUAGAGCACUGGAUGGCGCUAGGGACCAUACCCGGCACCCGAACCCAACCAAACUCCGAAUACCAUCACCGGAAACCCGGGAGUGAGGCGAUGGGGGAUAAGCUCCAUUGCCAAGAGGGAAACAACCCAGACCGCCGGCUAAGGCCCCUAAGUGCGGGCUCAGUGAGCAAAAGGAUGUGGGACGGCGAAGACGCCCGGGAUGUUGGCUUGAGAGCAGCCAUCGUCCAAGGAGUGCGUAAUAGCACACCGGGGGAGUCGCCCUGCGCCGAAAAUUCACGGGUCUUAAGUCCGCCGCCGAAGCCGCGGGACUCGUAAUACGUGACAGACACACUCCGUUGAGGAGAUCUGGGCCGGGUGAGGCGGGUGAUGACGAGCUUGCGGCUGCCGGCCCCCUUUUUCGGGGAGGAGCGCAUGACGUAUUACGAGUCGGUAGGGGAGCGUUCCGUCGUAGGGUGAAGCGCGUGUGAAAACACGCGUGGACGAAACGGAAGUGCGAAUGCCGGUAUGAGUAGCGUUGCAGGGGUGAGAAUCCCCUCCGCCGAAAGCCUAAGGUUUCCUAUGCCGCAAUGUUCGUCAGCGGCGGGUUAGGCGGGCCUAAGCCGAGGCCGAAAGGCGUAGGCGAUGGAUAGCCGGUCACAUUCCGGCCCCACCAGGGGCAAGGUGGACCACAGGGCACAAUGCCAGGCGGCCCUCCCGGGAAACCGGGAUAUCCGCAGCCUCGCAGCGCCCUCACUGCUCUCGCCAGAGUCUGCCAGAACACGCGGGGAGUAUCCCUGCCAUGGGCUGGCGGAUGAACCAGGCGAGGGCUAUCCCGCGGGGACGUGGGACCGUCCUUCCGGGGGGCGGCUGGUAGCCCACCCGGCAGGACCUAACCGCCAAGAAAAGCCGCGGGAGGAACCCCCUGGUGCCCGUACCUCAAACCGACACAGGUAGGCGAGGAGAGUAUCCUCAGGCGCGCGGGAGAACCCUCGUUAAGGAACUCGGCAAAUUGGCCCCGUAACUUCGGGAGAAGGGGCGCUCCACCCUCUCAACACACCCCAGCGCGGGUUGUGGGAGGACGAGGAGCCGCAGGAAAACGGCCUGGGCGACUGUUUACAAAAAACACAGGUCUCUGCUAAGUCGCAAGAAAGACGACGUAUAGGGGCCGACGCCUGCCCAGCGCCAGGACCUAAGGGGAUGGGUUCGCGAAACCCAUCGCGGGCUCUGAACCGAAACCCUGGUUAGCGGCGGCCGCGACAGGAAGCGGUCCGAAGGUAGCAAGAUUCCUUGACAGCUAAAUACUGUCCUGCUCCAAUGGCGUCACGACCCAGGCGCUGUCUCAACGAGGGACCCGGCGAAAUUGCGAUAUCGGUGAACAUGCCGAUGACCCGCGGUGGGAUGGAGAGACCCCGUGGAGCUUUACCGCAGCUAGCUGUUGGGUGCGGCUGAAUGAUGAAGAGAUCUAGGUGGGAGCCCGAUGUCGUCUCUGCCUGCGCGUCAAGCGCGCGGGUAGGCGUGAGUGAUGGGCAGAAGUGGAAUACCACCCUUCGUUCGGCGCGUGUCCUCAUCGCCCCUGUGCAGGGGGCGAGACCGCGGCUGGUGAGCGGUUCCGGCUGGAUCGGCAUCCUCCCAAAAAGUAACGGAGGAGACCAAAGGUCGCCUCAGCCUGGUUGGAAAUCAGGCAGUGACUUGCAAAGGGAUAAGGCGGCUUGACUGUGAGAGCGACGGCUCGAGCAGGUGCGAAAGCAGGGCUUAUCGACACGAUGGUACCUCGUGGGAGGGCCAUCGGACAACGGGUACAAGCUCCCCGGGAAUACAGGGCUCACCUCGCCCGAGAGAUCCCAUCGACGGCGAGACGUGGCGCCUCGUUGCCGGCUCAUCCCAUCCUGGGGCUGAAGCAGGUCCCAAGGGUUGGACUUCUCGUCCAUGAAAGGGGUCUGUGAGCUGGGAAUAGACCGUCGUGAGACAGGUCGUGUCCUAUCCACCGUGGGCGUGGGAGACUUGAGAGGGUCUGCCCCCAGUACGAGAGGACCGGGGCGGGCGGACCACCGGUGUAUCUGUUGUGCCGCCAGGCGCACCGCAGAGUAGCUGACGUCCGUUACGGAUAAGCGCUGAAAGCAUCUAAGCGCGAAGCCGGCCUCAAGACAAUAGGUCUCCAUUCAGGCCCCUGGUAGACCACCAGGUUGAUAGACCGGAGGUGUAAGGGUCGCGAGGCCUUUAGCUAACCGGCACUAAUCGGCCGAAAACAUGAGACG
RNAcentral lists this ribosomal RNA (2365 nucleotides) under activated sludge metagenome. RNAcentral describes it as "bacterial LSU rRNA". It matches the Rfam family "Bacterial large subunit ribosomal RNA", at positions 771 to 2925 of the family's 2925-position model. The record is from RNAcentral.